AUGCUGCCUGCUAUGGAGGGGUGGUUCAGCUUGUGUUUCGUAGCACUAGGUAUGCCGCUUGCCCUUUGGCUUCUCAAGCUCGCCGGCGGCAAGAACAAGCCACAGAAGCACCAGCUGCCGCCAGGGCCAUGGACUCUCCCGAUCAUCGGUAGCCUCCACCACGUAGUCAGCCUCGUCCCACACCGGAAAAUCACGCAGCUGUGUCGCCGCUAUGGGCCAAUGAUGCACCUCAAGCUAGGCGAGGUGGACGCCGUGGUGGUCUCCAGCGCCGAGGCGGUGGCCCAGGUGAUGAAGACCAACGACCUCACGUUUGCCACCCGGCCGGGCACCCCGACGCAGGACAUCGCCGGCUGUGGCGGCAGGGGCAUCAUCUUUGCUCCCUACGGCGACCACUGGCGCCAGAUGCGCAAGGUCUGCAUUGUGGAGCUGCUCAGCUCCAUGCAGGUCAGGCGCAUGGAGAGCAUCCGGCCAGAGGAGGUGGGCAACCUCCUGGCUGACAUCGCCACCGCCGCGGCAGCCCGCAACAGCAUCAACAUCAGCGAGAAAAUGAUGGAGCUCAGCAACAACGUCGUGUCGCAGGCGGUGUUCGGCGGCAGGUUCACGCAGCAGGACGAGUACAUCCACGAGCUGGACGUGGUGCUCACCCUGCUGGGUGGCUUCUGCCUCGUCGACCUCUUCCCGUCGUCACGGUUGGCGCGGUGGCUCAGCUUUGGCGCGCGGCGCAUGAAGAAGAGCUACGGCCGCAUGCAGCGCAUCAUCGCCGACGUGAUCGAGGAGCGCAAGGCCGCGCGAGCUGCUGGUGAUGGGGCCUCAAGCACCGAUGACGAGGACCUGCUGGACGUGCUGCUCAGGCUACAGAACGAUGAUUCGUUGGGAUUCCCUCUAACCACAAAGAGCAUAUGCGCCGUCUUAUUUGAUAUAUUCUCUGGUGCCACAGAUACCACAGGAACAAUUUUGGAAUGGGCUAUGUCAGAGCUCGUCCGUCAUCCUGAAACAAUGUUUAAGGCUCAACUAGAGAUAAGAAAAGUAUUAGGUCAAGAUCGAACAAUCAUAAAAAAUAGUGACCUUGGAAACCUCCACUACAUGCGAAUGGUCAUUAAGGAGGUUCUUAGGUUGCACCUACCAGCUCCACUAAUCCCACGCAUGGCCAGAAUGGAUUGUAAAAUUAUGGGUUAUGAGCUGCUUAAAGGCACCACUAUAUUAAUUAAUGUCUUUGCAGUUUCUACGGAUCCAAAGUACUGGAAACACCCUAAAGCCUUUUUGCCAGAGAGGUUUGAGAACAACAACUUAGAUUACAAUGGGACACAUUUUGAAUUCACCCCCUUUGGUGCUGGACGAAGGCAAUGUCCUGGGAUGCUAUUCGGCGCAUCAACCUUAGAGAUCACUUUGGCAAACCUGCUCUACCACUUUGAUUGGGUGCUUCCCGGUGGGGCAAGUCCAGAGUCAUUGGAUAUGUCUGAAAAAUUUGGGAUGACUGUAGGUAGAAGUUCUGACCUACAACUGAUAGCUAUUCCACGUGGAUGCAUCAAGGACAUGUAG
This 1539-nucleotide ribosomal RNA is filed under the name Triticum aestivum (bread wheat). Its description in RNAcentral is "partial small subunit ribosomal RNA". Lineage: Eukaryota; Viridiplantae; Streptophyta; Magnoliopsida; Poales; Poaceae. The record is from RNAcentral.